Molecule: long non-coding RNA, 745 nt
Organism: Macadamia integrifolia
Lineage: Eukaryota; Viridiplantae; Streptophyta; Magnoliopsida; Proteales; Proteaceae
Exons: 2
Source: RefSeq, a predicted model, not a curated record
UUUAAACCCAUCUUCAAAAUUACACCAUUAGAAGUUUAGAACAUGCAAGCACCGACUCCUCCGACGGCAACAUUCAAGUUCUGCAACUCCUACACCGGCAAUCUGCAAGGAAAGAGGUGUGGCAGCCUUGUGUGACAAUGCUUCACAGUGGCCAUGAAUCGAUUGGAACGAUAUACUGAAAUAGAACGUCAGUGUCUGGGGUGUUUCCGAAGGCAUUUCCUGAAUCUGAAGCAAGAGAACUGGGCUCUCCUGCUGCAUCUACGGUGGAACUGAUUAUUGGUUCCGAACAACGCCGAGGUAAAACCCUAAACCUCGAAUCCAAUGGAAGGGAAACCCUAAGCCUAAUACUUCACGAAGGAGAAUAGAAGCAGUUGUAAAUAAAAGGGAGGGUAAGACGAGGAGGCACUCAACGGUGCUAUCCAAGACCGGCUUGGGCUAAUACCGUAUCCGGGAGCUUGCUCCGAAACAACAUCGCCCGAUGGAAAUGAAGACGAUAGAUAGUAAAGAAAGGAAAGUGAAACUGGGGGUUCGAUAUAAAAUGGUAAAAUUGUCACUUCAUCAUGCCUUAAGGGUAAUUUUAUCAAUUAACACUCUAAGGACAUCAUCAUUUGAUAGUACUCAACGAAAGGAGUGGGCUCUUUUGUAUUUGUUUAUAGACAGUAAGGGGGUUCGAGUAAUUUCCCAAAUCUGGAGUGGAUGUUGAGUUUCAAGAAUAAUGCAGUGGAGUUCUGAGUAAUUUGUCCUA